This 253-nucleotide ribosomal RNA is filed under the name uncultured bacterium. RNAcentral describes it as "partial 16S ribosomal RNA". It matches the Rfam family "Bacterial small subunit ribosomal RNA", at positions 524 to 776 of the family's 1533-position model. The record is from RNAcentral.
UACGUAGGGUGCAAGCGUUGUCCGGAAUUAUUGGGCGUAAAGAGCUCGUAGGCGGUUUGUCGCGUCUGCUGUGAAAACUCGGGGCUUAACUCCGGGCCUGCAGUGGGUACGGGCAGACUAGAGUGCGGUAGGGGAGACUGGAAUUCCUGGUGUAGCGGUGAAAUGCGCAGAUAUCAGGAAGAACACCCGUGGCGAAAGCGGCUCUCUGGAACGGUACUGACGCUGAGACGCGAAAGCGUGGGGAGCGAACAGG